CCUACGGGUGUCAGCAGUGGGGAAUAUUGGACAAUGGGGGGAACCCUGAUCCAGCGACGCCGCGUGAGUGAAGAAGUCUUUCGGUAUGUAAAGCUCUAUCAGCAGGGAAGAAAGAAAUGACGGUACCUGACUAAGAAGCCCCGGCUAACUACGUGCCAGCAGCCGCGGUAAUCCGUGGGGGGCAAGCGUUCUCCGGAUUUACUGGUUGUAAAGGGAGCGUAGGCGGUUAGGAAAGUCUGGAGUGAAAGGCGGGGGCCCAACCCCCGGACUGCUUUGGAAACGGUAUAACUGGAGUGCAGUAGAGGUAAGUGGAAUUCCUGGUGUGGCGGGGAAAGGCGUAGAUAUAGGAGGAACACCAGUGGCGAAGGCGGCUUACUGGACUGUAACUGACGUUGAGGCUCGAAAGCGUGGGGAGCAAACAGGAUUAGAUACCCCUGUAGUC
RNAcentral lists this ribosomal RNA (442 nucleotides) under uncultured bacterium. RNAcentral describes it as "partial 16S ribosomal RNA". It matches the Rfam family "Bacterial small subunit ribosomal RNA", at positions 338 to 795 of the family's 1533-position model. The record is from RNAcentral.